This 442-nucleotide ribosomal RNA is filed under the name uncultured bacterium. RNAcentral's name for it is "bacterial SSU rRNA". It matches the Rfam family "Bacterial small subunit ribosomal RNA", at positions 355 to 787 of the family's 1533-position model. The record is from RNAcentral.
UAGGGAAUCUUCCGCAAUGGACGAAAGUCUGACGGAGCAACGCCGCGUGAGUGAGGAAGGUCUUCGGAUCGUAAAGCUCUGUUGCCAGGGAAGAAUCCCCUGGGGAGUCACUGCCCCGGGGGUUUGACGGUACCUGAGAAGAAAGCCCCGGCUAACUACGUGCCAGCAGCCGCGGUAAUACGUAGGGGGCGAGCGUUGUCCGGAAUUAUUGGGCGUAAAGCGCGCGCAGGCGGUUUUGUAAGUCCGAUUGUUUAAACCCGGGGCUCAACCUCGGGUCGCAAGGGAAACUGCAAGACUUGAGUGCAGGAGAGGGAAGCGGAAUUCCAUGUGUAGCGGUGAAAUGCGUAGAGAUAUGGAGGAACACCAGUGGCGAAGGCGGCUUCCUGGCCUGUAACUGACGCUGAGGCGCGAAAGCGUGGGGAGCAAACAGGAUUAGAUACCC